AAAAAAAAAAAUAAAUUGCAUAACAAUGGAAAGCUGCACCCACAUCCAAUUAUUGUGAGAUAAAGUUAGAAACAAUAGGUAAAAAUGACUGGAUUAGAGAUGAUUCAAAGCCAAACCCAUCUGGACUCCAAAAAUGCUGACAUUAAAGUCAAUAACAUAGUGAUUUUUUUUUCAGAAAAAGAAAAGGUUAAAUUUUGCACAUUAGAACUUGCAAUUUCACGCAACCCCAAAACAUAAAAAUAAUUUGAAACUCAAAUCCAAAUUACUCAAUCAGAGUUAUUCAGCUACCGAAACAAACACAGAAAGCAAAUCAGAAUAAAAUAAUGAUCA
Molecule: unclassified non-coding RNA, 330 nt
Filed under: Hevea brasiliensis (rubber tree)
Lineage: Eukaryota; Viridiplantae; Streptophyta; Magnoliopsida; Malpighiales; Euphorbiaceae
Source: RNAcentral